UACGUAGGGUGCAAGCGUUAUCCGGAAUUAUUGGGCGUAAAGAGCUCGUAGGCGGUUUGUCACGUCUGCUGUGAAAACUGGAGGCUCAACCUCCAGCCUGCAGUGGAUACGGGCAGACUAGAGUGCGGUAGGGGAGACUGGAAUUCCUGGUGUAGCGGUGAAAUGCGCAGAUAUCAGGAGGAACACCGGUGGCGAAGGCGGGUCUCUGGGCCGUAACUGACGCUGAGGAGCGAAAGCAUGGGGAGCGAACAGG
RNAcentral lists this ribosomal RNA (253 nucleotides) under uncultured bacterium. RNAcentral describes it as "partial 16S ribosomal RNA". It matches the Rfam family "Bacterial small subunit ribosomal RNA", at positions 524 to 776 of the family's 1533-position model. The record is from RNAcentral.